UUGAACGCUGGCGGCAUGCCUUACACAUGCAAGUCGAACGGUAACAGGUCUUCGGAUGCUGACGAGUGGCGAACGGGUGAGUAAUACAUCGGAACGUGCCCGAUCGUGGGGGAUAACGAGGCGAAAGCUUUGCUAAUACCGCAUACGAUCUACGGAUGAAAGCGGGGGAUCUUCGGACCUCGCGCGGACGGAGCGGCCGAUGGCAGAUUAGGUAGUUGGUGGGAUAAAAGCUUACCAAGCCGACGAUCUGUAGCUGGUCUGAGAGGAUGAUCAGCCACACUGGGACUGAGACACGGCCCAGACUCCUACGGGAGGCAGCAGUGGGGAAUUUUGGACAAUGGGCGAAAGCCUGAUCCAGCCAUGCCGCGUGCAGGAUGAAGGCCUUCGGGUUGUAAACUGCUUUUGUACGGAACGAAAAGCCUCUUUCUAAUAAAGAGGGGUCAUGACGGUACCGUAAGAAUAAGCACCGGCUAACUACGUGC
Molecule: ribosomal RNA, 482 nt
Filed under: uncultured bacterium
Lineage: Bacteria
Description: partial 16S ribosomal RNA
Rfam family: Bacterial small subunit ribosomal RNA
Source: RNAcentral